CCGCUGGCUGCCGCCGACGCCGACCGAGGAGAAGAGACGAGACGAGACGAGACGAGACGAGACGAGACACCGAGUAGCCGCCGGCGCCGCCGCCGCCCCCGGGGGAGAGGCAGUUAAGUCUAGUAGAAUAUUGGACUGGGAAUACUAGACUGCCCCACUGCCAUUCACUUCAUUUAUCUGUAUCCCUUUCUGAGUGUUGAGGAAUGAUUUGGGAGGUGCCUGGGCCUGAAACAUGCGGUUACUAAUGGAUCCUUCAAUGACUUAAUCCUUCAUGGCAACUGAUUGGAAAAGCAGAGGCAACUUCAAGUGGCAGGCUGAGGAAGUGUGUGUGUCUGUGUUUGUGUGCGCGUAUGUAUAUUUAAUACUGUGUACAGCUAGACAUAUAUAUACAUAAGGACAUAUACAUACGCACACAUUUACAGUAACGUAUGCACUCACUUUGGCCCCCUCUCAAAAGUCUUACAACUGAUGAAAAUAAAUUUAAGAAUCAGAUGGGGCAACUUGGCAACACUGGGCUCAGGAGUCCAGGGAGAAAAAUACUUUACUAAAAGUCAACUUUCCAUAUGGUCUUCACGAGUGAAGAAAGUUUGCAAAAAGAGGAAAAAAAAAUACUGCACAGAUCAAGUCCCCAAAAUACCUCUACAUUUAAAAGAAUGAGCUAAUGAGAAGGUGACAGGGUUGAGGGGUGGAAUCUGUCUUUUAGUACCAUGUGUAUGAUCAUGUGCUGUCCUUGGCACUUUGUUUUUUUAAUGAGUUCAAUGAAUUGAACUCUUUUUUAUUUCUUGGACUGGCUAUUGACCAUUACUUUGUGGUUAUGACUGGAAGAAAGUAAAUUCAGGAGUGAUGGAACAAGUUUGGACAUUGAACUGAUUUGUUUGCUUUUUUUUUCUUUUUCUUGAGGGUAUU
Molecule: long non-coding RNA, 906 nt
Organism: Gracilinanus agilis (Agile Gracile Mouse Opossum)
Lineage: Eukaryota; Metazoa; Chordata; Mammalia; Didelphimorphia; Didelphidae
Exons: 3
Source: RefSeq, a predicted model, not a curated record